GUGUCAGCCGCCGCGGUAAUACGUAGGGUGCAAGCGUUAAUCGGAAUUACUGGGCGUAAAGCGUGCGCAGGCGGUUCUAUAAGACAGAUGUGAAAUCCCCGGGCUCAACCUGGGAACUGCAUUUGUGACUGUAGAGCUAGAGUACGGUAGAGGGGGAUGGAAUUCCGCGUGUAGCAGUGAAAUGCGUAGAUAUGCGGAGGAACACCGAUGGCGAAGGCAAUCCCCUGGACCUGUACUGACGCUCAUGCACGAAAGCGUGGGGAGCAAACAGGAUUAGAUACCCUGGUAGUCCACGCCCUAAACGAUGUCAACUGGUUGUUGGGAGGGUUUCUUCUCAGUAACGAAGCUAACGCGUGAAGUUGACCGCCUGGGGAGUACGGCCGCAAGGUUGAAACUCAAAGAAAUUGACGG
This 411-nucleotide ribosomal RNA is filed under the name uncultured bacterium. Its description in RNAcentral is "bacterial SSU rRNA". It matches the Rfam family "Bacterial small subunit ribosomal RNA", at positions 505 to 916 of the family's 1533-position model. The record is from RNAcentral.